This 73-nucleotide transfer RNA is filed under the name Mucilaginibacter cryoferens. RNAcentral describes it as "Mucilaginibacter sp. FT3.2 tRNA". It matches the Rfam family "tRNA". From Rfam's summary of the family: Transfer RNA (tRNA) molecules are approximately 80 nucleotides in length. Their secondary structure includes four short double-helical elements and three loops (D, anti-codon, and T loops). Further hydrogen bonds mediate the characteristic L-shaped molecular structure. tRNAs have two regions of fundamental functional importance: the anti-codon, which is responsible for specific mRNA codon recognition, and the 3' end, to which the tRNAs corresponding amino acid is attached (by aminoacyl-tRNA synthetases). tRNAs cope with the degeneracy of the genetic code in two manners: having more than one tRNA (with a specific anti-codon) for a particular amino acid; and 'wobble' base-pairing, i.e. permitting non-standard base-pairing at the 3rd anti-codon position. Lineage: Bacteria; Pseudomonadati; Bacteroidota; Sphingobacteriia; Sphingobacteriales; Sphingobacteriaceae. The record is from Rfam by way of RNAcentral.
GGUUGGUUGCCCGAGUGGUUAAGGGAGUCCUCUGCAAAAGGAAUGCUCACAGGUUCGAAUCCAGUACCAACCU